UUCAGUUCUUCUUCACUACGAAGAAGAAUCUCACGAUUCUCACCAUCGCAUUCUUCCCUUCUACUGAAGAGUCUCACCAUGCUUCAUUACUUCUUAUUUCUACAUAUUCUUCUUCUCUGUUCACCUCUUCUUAUACGUUCUUCUUCUUCAUCUGGUUUAGGGUUCUUAUGUUUUUCAUCUGCUACUGCUAGCUACUAAGAAACUAAUUGCAAGUAAUUGUAUACCAGUGAAAUAUUGGUUUGGUGAAGACGAGACAGCAACCUGUGGAAGCAAAUUAAUUGGAAAGUGUAGAUGGGUCUGGUAGAGUUUGAGCUGGAGAACUUGAAUUGGUGAUGGUAUGUUAGUUGCUGAUACAGGUAACUGGUGGUGGUAUGCUGCUCGAAUUACAGAAGAAGAGAGUUGGGUUUGAGCAGAAAUUGAAGAAGAAAACAUGAAGAAGGUUGUUGUUGAAGGAGGGAUUAAAUAUGCACUGGUGGUUGGUUGCUAUUGCAGUGAUGGAGAUUUAAAGGGUUUGUGAAUGUAUGCUUUACAGGGAAAGACCAUGAGGCAGUGAAUGGAAGAAUGAAGUUGAAGUGCAGUGAGCUGUAGGUAAUGGUGUUGAUGUUGUGCUGUUAAUGAAGGAGAUCAAGAUAAUAACUUAUGGUAUUGGCUGUGAGUUAUUGAAGCAACAAAGGUGAAUGGGUCAGAUGCAACUCUUGUGCAGGCAAUAAGUUACAGAAGGAGUUGCAGGUAACGGUGAACUUGACUUGCAUAUGGUGCUGCUUUCGGUAUUUGGAGAAUGGUGUUGGUGGAUCGAUUGUUAGAGCAGGUAGAAUGAGUGGGUUGGUGCAGCAAAGCAGCUACAACUAUUGCUUGAUCUGGUUAUUACAGUUUGAAUUGAUUUUGACUUAGUUUUAGGCGAGAAAAACCAUGGAGAAGAUUGAUGUUUCUUCCAUUGGUUUGUAUAAUUGAAUGAAUGCUUGUUAACCGAUACCCAGAACUAUGGAAUUACAUAAUUUUUUGGUUAGCUGCAAGUUUAAUUACAUAAUUAUAAUUAUAAUUGAUGA
Long non-coding RNA from Papaver somniferum (opium poppy), 1046 nucleotides. RefSeq lists it as uncharacterized. Lineage: Eukaryota; Viridiplantae; Streptophyta; Magnoliopsida; Ranunculales; Papaveraceae. The record is from RefSeq and is a predicted model, not a curated record. The transcript is spliced from 2 exons.